RNAcentral lists this ribosomal RNA (317 nucleotides) under Bacillus velezensis. RNAcentral describes it as "bacterial LSU rRNA". It matches the Rfam family "Bacterial large subunit ribosomal RNA", at positions 1688 to 2003 of the family's 2925-position model. Lineage: Bacteria; Bacillati; Bacillota; Bacilli; Caryophanales; Bacillaceae. The record is from RNAcentral.
GAUCGAGAGAACUCUCGUUAAGGAACUCGGCAAAAUGACCCCGUAACUUCGGGAGAAGGGGUGCUCUGUUAGGGUGCAAGCCCGAGAGAGCCGCAGUGAAUAGGCCCAGGCGACUGUUUAGCAAAAACACAGGUCUCUGCGAAGCCGUAAGGCGAAGUAUAGGGGCUGACGCCUGCCCGGUGCUGGAAGGAUAAGAGGAGCGCUUAGCGUAAGCGAAGGUGCGAAUUGAAGCCCCAGUAAACGGCGGCCGUAACUAUAACGGUCCUAAGGUAGCGAAAUUCCUUGUCGGGUAAGUUCCGACCCGCACGAAAGGCGCA